AUAGAACAGUUCUAUAAUACUCACCACCAUGUUCAAGUUGCUGAUUCGUCUAGCGUUGCUGCUAGCUGCAAUAAUGUUGCCAGCAUUGGUUGUUGGUACCUCGUGUAAAGCACAGGCUGGGGCUACAGUUAAGGACCCCCCUCCCCACGGCCAGUAGCGCACCUCCACCCGCUGCCACCACUAUCAUUCGAAAUACACCAUUCACAAUAUCACUCUUCAUAGAACACAUUACAAAUGAAUUGAAUUAUCAAUAAGGAAAACAUAUAUCAUAGAGUUUAAUGGAAUAAUAAAAAUUUAAUGAAACAAA
Molecule: long non-coding RNA, 307 nt
Organism: Nilaparvata lugens (brown planthopper)
Lineage: Eukaryota; Metazoa; Arthropoda; Insecta; Hemiptera; Delphacidae
Exons: 2
Source: RefSeq, a predicted model, not a curated record